RNAcentral lists this long non-coding RNA (214 nucleotides) under Bos indicus x Bos taurus (hybrid cattle). RNAcentral describes it as "lncRNA (ENSBIXG00005006919.1)". The record is from RNAcentral. Lineage: Eukaryota; Metazoa; Chordata; Mammalia; Artiodactyla; Bovidae.
CACUCUCUGGCAAUAGUCCUUAUGAGAGGACUCAAGCCAACAUAUGCAACUUAAACCUUGAGAGCUGAUCCAUGGAGUUGUGGGUGCAAAGUGAAGAUCAAGCAUAAACAAGACAUUACAAUGGAAUCCAAGUAAAAACUGUUUCAGCCUGGAAGAGGAAUACCAGAGAAUUUUGGGAAAUUCACGCAGGUCUAAGAUUCCAUCGAGCCUCAGG